AACGCAUAUUGCACUCUCUGGUAUUCCGGAGAGUACACCUGUUUCAGUAUCAAAAAAUGACAUCUAAAUUUGGUUCGUUUGUUAGUCAGACGGGUCGAAUUUUGGGAUUUGGGCUUUGCAGAACUUUUGCUGGCUUUAAAUAAUUUAGCCACAUUAUGAAAAUCUUUUAGGUGAUAAGGCGUAAUAGUUGGUACUUUCGCUGAAGCCUGUCUUUUUUUUCUGAAAUUUUGGCUCAAUAAUAUGGAAAAAUGAAAUAUAUAUUUCACCAUGAUUUAGAUCUGAAAUCAGGUGGGACUACCCGCUGAACUUAA
This 311-nucleotide unclassified non-coding RNA is filed under the name uncultured fungus. Its description in RNAcentral is "sequence contains ITS2". The record is from RNAcentral. Lineage: Eukaryota; Fungi.